Molecule: long non-coding RNA, 995 nt
Filed under: Capra hircus (goat)
Lineage: Eukaryota; Metazoa; Chordata; Mammalia; Artiodactyla; Bovidae
Description: lncRNA (ENSCHIG00010014158.1)
Source: RNAcentral
UCCUCUGAAUGUCUUUCUCCUUGUUCUCCAUGUUAUAGCUGUGUGUGCCACAUUCCUUAACAGAUUUCCAUGGGAUCACGGUUGGCUUUGGAGACUGAGGAAAGAAGACAGAAUUCUGUGAAGUCUGAACAUCUGUUAGAGUCGUGAAUGGCUUCGGGGAUGAGCUCAUCAGCAGGUGAACUUCCUGUUCCAGAUGGGAGCUGUCAGUCAUGCCCACGCAAUGUUAGCAGAAGAGGGCCAUUGUAAAAAUGCUGACCUUAAUGGCAACCUUCAGAAACAUGGGUUUCAUCUAUGACCCCAGGUCAUUAAUAAAAUAGGACAAUUUCAGAGCAAGCCAGGACAAUAUUCCAUAAAUGUAUACAAAGGUUGUUUCUUAUUAAAAUUAUAAAGUUUUCAAAAUAUUAACUCAUUACAAAAUUAUCCAUCUGUGAUGCAUUAUUAUUGAAUACAUGUAAUUUGUUUUGUCUUCAGUGAAGAGUGAAAAAAAAAAUACCUGGAGUGUUCACAAAGAUGGACCCUUAGUAGAGUAGUUUAAGAGUGUGGACCCUAUGGAUGACAGCCUGGCUAAAUGGAUGCCUUACUUGACUCCAGGUUUUAUCUUCAGCAAAUUCUUAAAGUUCCUAAUCCUCUGUUUCUCAGUUCUAAGGUAAUAAUAGGAAUCACUUUCUAGGGUUGUAUUAAAUCCUGCAGUAAGGUGGGUGAACUUAGAAGAGUGACUACCAUGUAAAAGGUUUUUUUUUUUUUUUCAGAUACAACUGAUAUAACAUUAGUUUCAAGUAUAUAACAUAAUGAUUUGACAUUGGUAUAUGUUGCCCAAAUGAUCACCACAGGAGGUCUAGUUCAUAUAUCACCACGCAUAGUUAACAACUUUUUUCCUUGCGAUAAGAAAUUUUAAGGUUUACUCUCUUAGCAGCUUUCAAAUAUGCAAUACAGUAUUAUCAACUAUAGUCACCACGCUGUACAUUAUAUCCCCAGGACUUAAUGUAGUUUAUAAC